AGUUUGAUCCUGGCUCAGGACGAACGCUGGCGGCAUGCCUAACACAUGCAAGUCGAACGAGAAAGUCACUUCGGUGGCGAUUAAAGUGGCGCACGGGUGAGUAACGCGUAGACAAUCUGCCCUUCAGUCUGGGACAACUUUUCGAAAGGAGAGCUAAUACCGGAUAACAAUGCAUGACACAAGUUGUAUAUUUGAAAGCUUUAUGUGCUGAAGGAGGGGUCUGCGUCCCAUUAGCUAGUUGGUAAGGUAAAGGCUUACCAAGGCAACGAUGGGUAGCGGGUUUGAGAGGACGAUCCGCCACACUGGAACUGAGACACGGUCCAGACUCCUACGGGAGGCAGCAGUGGGGAAUAUUGCACAAUGGAGGAAACUCUGAUGCAGCAAUGUCGCGUGAGUGAAGAAGGCCCUUGGGUCGUAAAGCUCUUUUAUGGGGGAAGAUGAUGACGGUACCCCAAGAAUAAGCACCGGCUAACUAUGUGCCAGCAGCCGCGGUAAUACAUAGGGUGCGAGCGUUGUUCGGAAUUACUGGGCGUAAAGGGCGCGCAGGCGGAAUAGCAAGUCGGAGGUGAAAGCCCGGGGCUCAACCCCGGAGGGUCUUUCGAAACUGCUAAUCUAGAGAGGGUCAGGGGCCGGCAGAAUUCCUGGUGUAGAGGUGAAAUUCGUAGAUAUCAGGAGGAAUACCGGCGGCGAAGGCGGCCGGCUGGGGCCACUCUGACGCUGAGGCGCGAAAGCGUGGGGAGCAAACAGGAUUAGAUACCCUGGUAGUCCACGCCGUAAACGAUGAGCACUGGACGUCCGGAGGGUUCGAGCCUUCUGGGUGUCUCAGCUAACGCAUUAAGUGCUCCGCCUGGGGAGUACGGUCGCAAGACUAAAACUCAAAGGAAUUGACGGGGGCUCGCACAAGCGGUGGAACAUGUGGUUUAGUUCAAUGCAACGCGAAGAACCUUACCUGGGCUUGACAUGUUCAUGAAAGCUCUUUGAAAGCAGAGCCCUCUGCGAGCUUGCUCAAAGACAUGAUCACAGGUGGUACAUGGCUGUCGUCAGCUCGUGUCGUGAGAUGUUUGGUUAAGUCCAGAAACGAGCGCAACCCCUUUCCUUAGUUGCCAGCACGUUAUGGUGGGGACUCUAAGGAUACCGCCUGGGACAACCGGGGGGAAGGUGGGGAUGAUGUCAAGUCAGUAUGUCCCUUAUGCCCAGGGCUACACACGUGUUACAAUGGCAAGUACAAAGGGUCGCCAACCCGCGAAGUGGAGCCAAUCCCAAAAAACUAACCUCAGUUCGGAUUGGAGUCUGCAACUCGACUCCAUGAAGUCGGAAUCGCUAGUAAUCGUGGAUCAGAACGCUACGGUGAAUACGUUCCCGGGUCUUGUACACACCGCCCGUCACGCCAUGGAAGUCAGCAGUACCCAAAGCAGGUCGCCUAACCUUCGGGAGGGAGCCUUUUAAGGUAAGGCUGGUAACUGGGGCGAAGUCGUAACAAGGUAGC
Molecule: ribosomal RNA, 1486 nt
Filed under: uncultured bacterium
Lineage: Bacteria
Description: bacterial SSU rRNA
Rfam family: Bacterial small subunit ribosomal RNA
Source: RNAcentral